UACGUAGGUGGCAAGCGUUGUCCGGAAUUAUUGGGCGUAAAGCGCGCGCAGGUGGUUUCUUAAGUCUGAUGUGAAAGCCCACGGCUCAACCGUGGAGGGUCAUUGGAAACUGGGGAACUUGAGUGCAGGAGAGAAGAGUGGAAUUCCACGUGUAGCGGUGAAAUGCGCAGAUAUCAGGAAGAACACCAAUGGCGAAGGCAGCUCUCUGGGACGGUACUGACGCUGAGACGCGAAAGCGUGGGGAGCGAACAGG
This 253-nucleotide ribosomal RNA is filed under the name uncultured bacterium. RNAcentral describes it as "partial 16S ribosomal RNA". It matches the Rfam family "Bacterial small subunit ribosomal RNA", at positions 524 to 776 of the family's 1533-position model. The record is from RNAcentral.